AUUGAACGCUGGCGGCAGGCCUAACACAUGCAAGUCGAGCGGUAGAGAGGUGCUUGCAUCUCUUGAGAGCGGCGGACGGGUGAGUAAUGCCUAGGAAUCUGCCUAGUGGUGGGGGAUAACGUUCGGAAACGGACGCUAAUACCGCAUACGUCCUACGGGAGAAAGCGGGGGAUCUUCGGACCUCGCGCCAUUAGAUGAGCCUAGGUCGGAUUAGCUAGUUGGUGAGGUAAUGGCUCACCAAGGCGACGAUCCGUAACUGGUCUGAGAGGAUGAUCAGUCACACUGGAACUGAGACACGGUCCAGACUCCUACGGGAGGCAGCAGUGGGGAAUAUUGGACAAUGGGCGAAAGACCUGAUCCAGCCAUGCCGCGUGUGUGAAG
Molecule: ribosomal RNA, 381 nt
Filed under: uncultured bacterium
Lineage: Bacteria
Description: bacterial SSU rRNA
Rfam family: Bacterial small subunit ribosomal RNA
Source: RNAcentral